AUGCAUUCCUUUCUUAAAAAACAUUUGUCCGAAUAUUCUAUGUGUUGUCCUGAGAAGUUCCCAGAAGAGCUAUAUGAUGUAGAACUACCACAUGGUAGUCUAGCUGAUUCUUCAAAGAUGUCUCUUGAAACUUCUGGAAUUUUACCAAAGAUGCCAAGUGUGAGAAUAGCUUCUCCAGUUUCUGUCACCACAGAAGCAGACCAUCAGACUGCUCGAUCAGAGAGUAGAGCAGCAAAUGCUUCAAAUGAGGAAAUUAACAUUCAGUGGUACAAUCCUUCUCUGGCAAAGCCAUCAAGCAAUACAGAGACUAAGGUAUAGCUACACCAAAGCAGUUAUUAAGUAUUGGAAUAAAUUAAGUCUCAUUUCUAGUGAAUAUUUGGUCAUGACAGAACAACUGUCCAGUUGGCAAGCUGGACAGCCCAGAGCGAUGCAUUUAUUACAACACAAAACUGCUACACAGGACAAACAUAAUGCCCUGACAGUCAUUUGAUAGCAGGUUAACGAAAGACUUUGGAGAUCAUGUAGAGCCUCCAGACCAUAAUGUUUGCUUGUCUUUUGCAAGACUUUUAAGUCUUUAAGACUCUACACUUAAAUUUGGUUGAAGGUUGCAAAUAUUCAAACAGCAUCACUUGGUAGGAGGCUGUCAGAAAGGAGAGGUGUUCGUAUACAAAGAAACUGGGAUUUCUUGAACCUCAUUUCCCUGAGAAAUCAGAUUAAAAAUGAAAGGUGAGAUGGACUGGAGGGUUGUGUGGAAGUGAGAGACUGGGAGAUGGAAAUUGUGUUGUUUUUAAACAAUGGAACUGAAUGUAGAUACAAUUUCUGAUACUGCAAUAGGGUUUCAUGGUCUCUAAACAUUUUGGCUUAGCAAAUCAAAGUUUUUGCUAGAUCCUUCUCAUCUCUAUUAGUGAGCUAAUAGAAGCAAUGUGAAGUUAGUGCAAAGAAUGCACUUCUCGAUAUAGUUUUAAAAGUUACUUUAAGGCCUUACAGACCAGUAGAGAUCUGGAGACAACUCUUGAAAACAACUGACAUAUGUAUGCCAUAUUCUUGACACUCUCCAUGUAGUCAAAAUAAUCAGCCACUACUGGGACGCAUAUUGUCAGUCAUACAAGAAAAUUAAUUCUGUGAAAGAUGAGAACAUUCUAGUUCAUCAUCUUGUGCUCAGAUAUUGAUACCACUCUGUUAGAAUGGUGAGUUAUGUGCAGUUCAUGUAUUUAAAUAUAGUAUGAUGACAGCCAUGCACAAGGUCAUAUUGGAAGUGUAAAUAAUUGCCUUUUGGAAAUUCAUAAAAGGUCUCUGUUCAGCCUACUUGAAGUAGGAACUUUCAACUUGAACCUAAGUGUGAUUGAUUGACUG
RNAcentral lists this long non-coding RNA (1353 nucleotides) under Anas zonorhyncha (Eastern spot-billed duck). Its description in RNAcentral is "lncRNA (ENSAZOG00000000590.1)". Lineage: Eukaryota; Metazoa; Chordata; Aves; Anseriformes; Anatidae. The record is from RNAcentral.